This 111-nucleotide ribosomal RNA is filed under the name Acanthosepion pharaonis. The record is from RNAcentral. Lineage: Eukaryota; Metazoa; Mollusca; Cephalopoda; Sepiida; Sepiidae.
UGGCGAUAUCACAUGAAAACAUCGGUUCUAGUUCGAUCACCGAAGUCAAGCAACGGCGAGACUGGUCAGAACCUAGAUUGGUGACCGCUUGGGAAUAACAGGUGCUGUAGG